This 471-nucleotide ribosomal RNA is filed under the name uncultured diatom. RNAcentral describes it as "SSU rRNA". It matches the Rfam family "Eukaryotic small subunit ribosomal RNA", at positions 451 to 924 of the family's 1831-position model. The record is from RNAcentral. Lineage: Eukaryota; Bacillariophyta.
CUGACACAGGGAGGUAGUGACAAUAAAUAACAGUGCCGGGCCUUUCUAGGUCUGGCAAUUGGAAUGAGAAAUAUUUAAAUCCCCUAUCGAGGAUCAACUGAAGGGCAAGUCUGGUGCCAGCAGCCGCGGUAAUUCCAGCUUCAGUAGCGUAUAUUAAAGUUGUUGCAGUUAAAAAGCUCGUAGUCGCAUUUCUGGCGAGAGGAAUUGGUCCGACAUUUAUUGUGGGUACUCGAUUCUCUCUCGCCAUCCUUGAGUGGUCCGUUCUGGCAUUUAGUUGUCGGAGCGUCAGCCGCUCAUCGUUUACUGUGAGAAAAUUAGAGUGUUCAAAGCAGGCUUAUGCCGUUGAAUAUAUUAGCAUGGAAUAAUAAGAUAGGACCUCGGUGCUAUUUUGUUGGUUUGCGCACAGAGGUAAUGAUGAACAGGGACAGUUGGGGGUAUUUGUAUUUCGUUGUCAGAGGUGAAAUUCUUAGA